GACGAACGCUGGCGGCGUGCUUAACACAUGCAAGUCGAGCGGUAAGGCCCUUUCGGGGGUACACGAGCGGCGAACGGGUGAGUAACACGUGGGUGACCUGCCCUCAGCUCUGGGAUAAGCCUGGGAAACCGGGUCUAAUACUGGAUAUGACUCCAUGACGCAUGUUGUGGGGUGGAAAGCCUUGUGCGGCUGAGGAUGGGCCCGCGGCCUAUCAGCUUGUUGGUGGGGUGANGGGCCUACCAAAGGCGACGACGGGUAGCCGGCCUGAGAGGGCGACCGGCCACACUGGACUGAGACACGGCCCAGACUCCUACGGGAGGCAGCAGUGGGGAAUCUUGCGCAAAUGGGCGAAAGCCUGACGCAGCGACGCCGCGUGAGGGAUGACGG
Molecule: ribosomal RNA, 387 nt
Filed under: uncultured bacterium
Lineage: Bacteria
Description: bacterial SSU rRNA
Rfam family: Bacterial small subunit ribosomal RNA
Source: RNAcentral